This 435-nucleotide ribosomal RNA is filed under the name uncultured bacterium. Its description in RNAcentral is "partial 16S ribosomal RNA". It matches the Rfam family "Bacterial small subunit ribosomal RNA", at positions 29 to 507 of the family's 1533-position model. The record is from RNAcentral.
AACGAACGCUGGCGGCAUGCCUAACACAUGCAAGUCGAACGAUUGCCUUCGGGUGAUAGUGGCGCACGGGUGCGUAACGCGUGGGAAUCUGCCCCUAGGUUCGGAAUAACAGCUGGAAACGGCUGCUAAUACCGGAUGAUAUCGCGAGAUCAAAGAUUUAUCGCCUGAGGAUGAGCCCGCGUUGGAUUAGGUAGUUGGUGGGGUAAAGGCCUACCAAGCCGACGAUCCAUAGCUGGUCUGAGAGGAUGAUCAGCCACACUGGGACUGAGACACGGCCCAGACUCCUACGGGAGGCGGCAGUGGGGAAUAUUGGACAAUGGGCGCAAGCCUGAUCCAGCAAUGCCGCGUGAGUGAUGAAGGCCCUAGGGUUGUAAAGCUCUUUUACCCGGGAAGAUAAUGACUGUACCGGGAGAAUAAGCCCCGGCUAACUCCGUG